Molecule: ribosomal RNA, 195 nt
Filed under: Paenibacillus polymyxa
Lineage: Bacteria; Bacillati; Bacillota; Bacilli; Caryophanales; Paenibacillaceae
Description: partial 23S ribosomal RNA
Rfam family: Bacterial large subunit ribosomal RNA
Source: RNAcentral
GCUGGGUAGCUAUGUACGGAAGGGAUAAGCGCUGAAAGCAUCUAAGCGUGAAGCCCCCCUCAAGAUGAGAUUUCCCAAUUAGUAAGACCCCUUGAAGACGACGAGGUAGAUAGGUUGGGGGUGGAAGUGCAGUAAUGCAUGGAGCUGACCAAUACUAAUCGGUCGAGGGCUUAUCCUAAAGAUAAGACGCAAGGA